RNAcentral lists this ribosomal RNA (912 nucleotides) under Triticum aestivum (bread wheat). RNAcentral describes it as "partial small subunit ribosomal RNA". Lineage: Eukaryota; Viridiplantae; Streptophyta; Magnoliopsida; Poales; Poaceae. The record is from RNAcentral.
AUGCCUCCGAGAAACAGGACAUAUGCAUCAGGUAGCAAAAAAAGGAAAAAGAAGAAGGCCGCAGAUAAAUUGGUACAAUCACAUUCCACUACUUCGAUUAAUCCAGAUGAUGAGUUGGCGAUAGUUGCCAUAGAGGAAGAGCAACAAAAUAAUGUGAAUUCAGAAUCCGAUCAGCAAGAAGAAAAUGUCGACACCAACAUCGUCGACAACAAUUCUCCUAGUGUUGAUGAACCAGUCUAUACUCCUGAUAUUUAUGAUCCAAGAAAUUGGGAUAAUCUUGACAAUAAAGCAAGAGAUGUAUUAGUUGAGAAAGGGCCAAUGAGAGAGGAAGAGGAUAAAAUGGAAUAUCGUGUAGAUGAUGCAUGAAGACAUUUUUCCUAUGUUCAUUAUCAUAGGAAAUUAAGCAAUGGAGAGAAACAUGGUAGAAAAUGACUAGUUUAUUCAGAAGCUGUUGACAAAGUUUUUUGCUUUUGUUGUAAGAUCUUCAAGUCUAGCAGUAACAGGAGUCAGAGUUCGUUAGCACAUGAUGGAUUAGAUCAUUGGAGGCACAUUAGUGAGAAGCUUAAAGAACAUGAAAAUAGCGUUGAUCAUAUUAACAUGAACAAGUGGAAUGAAUUAAGGAUUAGACUGCGGAAAGAGCAAACUAUUGACAAGGAAUUUCAGCAUCAACUAACAAAGGAGAAAGAACGUGUCAGGCAAGUUUUGUUAAGAAUAAUAACCAUUGUGAAAUAUCUUGGUAAACGCAACUUGGCUUUUCGCGGAAACAGUGAGCAACUUUACAAGGAUGAUAAUGGUAAUUUCUUAGCUUGUGUUGAGAUGAUUGCAGAAUUUGAUUUGGUAAUGCAAGACCACCUUAGACGUAUCCAGAACAAAGAAAUUCAUUACCAUUAUCUCAGUCAUAAAAUUCUUUGA